Molecule: ribosomal RNA, 371 nt
Filed under: uncultured organism
Description: bacterial SSU rRNA
Rfam family: Bacterial small subunit ribosomal RNA
Source: RNAcentral
CGUAGGGUGCGAGCGUUAAUCGGAAUUACUGGGCGUAAAGCGUGCGCAGGCGGUUUUGUAAGCCAGAUGUGAAAUCCCCGGGCUUAACCUGGGAAUGGCAUUUGGGACUGCAAGGCUGGAGUGUGGCAGAGGAGACUGGAAUUCCUGGUGUAGCAGUGAAAUGCGUAGAUAUCAGGAGGAAUACCGAUGGCGAAGGCAGGUCUCUGGGCUGACACUGACGCUCAUGCACGAAAGCGUGGGGAGCAAACAGGAUUAGAUACCCUGGUAGUCCACGCCCUAAACGAUGUCGACUGGUUGUUGGGGGUUUGACACUCUCAGUAACGAAGCUAACGCGUGAAGUCGACCGCCUGGGGAGUACGGCCGCAAGGUUA